Oncorhynchus tshawytscha (Chinook salmon) is the source of this 1076-nucleotide long non-coding RNA. NCBI's taxonomy places the organism in Eukaryota, Metazoa, Chordata, Actinopteri, Salmoniformes, Salmonidae. The record is from Ensembl.
AGAAGCCAAAGGGAGUGACAUAUAAAGGGCAAGUAAUCAAGGAGGUGAUGGAGUCCAGGUGAGUGUCAUUAUGCUCCUACCGCUGGUGACAGGUGUGCGCCCUAACGAGCAGCCUGGUGACCUAGAGGCCAGAGAGGGAGCACACGUGACAUUGGUGUUACAUUGUUUACGGAAAACUCAUCUGUUUCAAAAGCAAAGUAUAAGUCAGACAAAUGCAUAACUGAUGACAAUGCAACUAGAAGAUAAAGAUUGUUUUGUGUGUUUGCAGGUUCAGUCCAAUCACCACAGAGAAUUACAAGAAGUCUUCAUGGCAACCAAUUUGUAAAAAAAAAAAAAAAAAAAACAAGUACCUAAGUGUAACGGAUGUGAAACGGCUAGCUUAGUUAGCGGUGCGCGCUAAAUAGCGUUUCAAUCGGUGACGUCACUUGCUCUGAGACCUUGUUGAUGUGUGCAGAGGGUCCCUGGUUCGCGCCCGGGGGAUCGCCUUACUAUGUGCUGGUCAACGUGCCUUGGGAGAAUGGGAGCGGCGAUGGUAUUUCUUGUAACAAAGACAGUUGUACGAAGCUCCCGGAGCCCGAAGAUGAUGUAGGCCUAUGGAUGUUGUGUCUUGUGACACUGAAAAUUAAAUAAAUUGUUGUUGCAUAAUGUUCUCUGAUUCCCAUGCUCCACUCCUUGAUUGAAAGAACCCGUGUUAUGUUUAUCUUAGUACCUCGCCUCGCUUCUUAAAAAGGUGGUGCGGCUGUGUCUACAGGAAUAUUAUGUUAAUUUCCCUGACGUCACAUCCGCAUUGCAUACUUACUCCCAUUCACAGAGAAUUUGUUAGUAGGACAUGACGUGAUCCAGCUUGUGUGUGUAAUAUAACUGCUUGACCUACCUUGCAGAACAUGGACUAGGACAUCUGCCAUUCAUUGUGGUAGGCUUGCUUGGGUCAUAGACUGAUUAACAUUAUUAACUAACUAUUACACAUUCAAUCACUUUGAAAAAAGAAUGCUGAGUCUAUAUCAAGCACUGUCUAAUAAGAUACUUUAUGCAAUUUUUGUACUACUCCACUAUUGUAAAAUAGGUUUUGGAAAUGC